GGGCGAAUAGCUCAGGGGGAGAGCACCUGCCUUACAAGCAGGGAGCCGUAGGUUCAAAUCCUACUUCGCCCACCA
This 75-nucleotide transfer RNA is filed under the name Bacillota bacterium. RNAcentral describes it as "Firmicutes bacterium (anaerobic digester metagenome) tRNA-Val". It matches the Rfam family "tRNA". From Rfam's summary of the family: Transfer RNA (tRNA) molecules are approximately 80 nucleotides in length. Their secondary structure includes four short double-helical elements and three loops (D, anti-codon, and T loops). The record is from RNAcentral. Lineage: Bacteria; Bacillati; Bacillota.